This 460-nucleotide ribosomal RNA is filed under the name uncultured bacterium. RNAcentral's name for it is "partial 16S ribosomal RNA". It matches the Rfam family "Bacterial small subunit ribosomal RNA", at positions 338 to 795 of the family's 1533-position model. The record is from RNAcentral.
CCUACGGGAGGCAGCAGUGAGGAAUAUUGGGCAAUGGGCGCGAGCCUGAACCAGCCAAGCAGCGUGAAGGAUGACUGCCCUACGGGUUGUAAACUUCUUUUAUAAAGGAAUAAAGUGAGGCACGUGUGCCUUUUUGUAUGUACUUUAUGAAUAAGGAUCGGCUAACUCCGUGCCAGCAGCCGCGGUAAUACGGAGGAUCCGAGCGUUAUCCGGAUUUAUUGGGUUUAAAGGGAGCGUAGAUGGGUUGUUAAGUCAGUUGUGAAAGUUUGGGGCUCAACCGUAAAAUUGCAAUUGAUACUGGCAGCCUUGAGUACAGUUGAGGUAGGCGGAAUUCGUGGUGUAGCGGUGAAAUGCGUAGAUAUGACGAAGAACACCGAUGGCGAAGGCAGCCUACUAAACUGCCACUGACAUUGAUGCGCGAAAGUGUGGGUAUCAAACAGGAUUAGAUACCCUAGUAGUC